Molecule: ribosomal RNA, 911 nt
Filed under: uncultured bacterium
Lineage: Bacteria
Description: bacterial SSU rRNA
Rfam family: Bacterial small subunit ribosomal RNA
Source: RNAcentral
AGAGUUUGAUCCUGGCUCAGAUUGAACGCUGGCGGCAUGCUUUACACAUGCAAGUCGAACGGCAGCACGGGUGCUUGCACCUGGUGGCGAGUGGCGAACGGGUGAGUAAUGCACCGGAACGUACCCAGUAAUGGGGGAUAACGCACCGAAAGGUGUGCUAAUACCGCAUACGCCCUGAGGGGGAAAGCGGGGGAUCGUAAGACCUCGCGUUAUUGGAGCGGCCGAUGCCGGAUUAGCUAGUUGGUGGGGUAAAGGCCUACCAAGGCGACGAUCCGUAGCUGGUCUGAGAGGACGACCAGCCACACUGGGACUGAGACACGGCCCAGACUCCUACGGGAGGCAGCAGUGGGGAAUUUUGGACAAUGGGCGAAAGCCUGAUCCAGCCAUGCCGCGUGAGUGAAGAAGGCCUUCGGGUUGUAAAGCUCUUUCGCAAGGAAAGAAAACUUAGCUACUAAUACUAGCUGAGGAUGACGGUACCUUGAUAAGAAGCACCGGCUAACUACGUGCCAGCAGCCGCGGUAAUACGUAGGGUGCGAGCGUUAAUCGGAAUUACUGGGCGUAAAGCGUGCGCAGGCGGUUCGAUAAGUCUGAUGUGAAAUCCCCGGGCUCAACCUGGGAACUGCGUUGGAAACUGUCGGGCUAGAGUGUAGAAGAGGGGGGUAGAAUUCCACGUGUAGCAGUGAAAUGCGUAGAGAUGUGGAGGAAUACCGAUGGCGAAGGCAGCCCCCUGGGCUAACACUGACGCUCAUGCACGAAAGCGUGGGGAGCAACAGGAUUAGAUACCCUGGUAGUCCACGCCCUAAACGAUGUCUACUAGUUGUUGGUGGAGUAAAUCCAUUAGUACGCAGCUAACGCGUGAAGAAACCGCCUGGGGAGUACGGUCGAAGAUAAAACUCAAAGGAUUGACGGGA